AAAAAAAAAAAAAAAAAAAGAGGCCAUGGCUGCAGUUAGUGCUUUCACUCUUCUCCGGAAUCGUGGAAUUAGUACAAGGGCAUUCUCAAAUGUGAAAUCUUCCCCAAGACCCAUCUCUUAUAUCAACUACAAAUUCCUUCUUUCUAUUCAGUCUCGCAGGUCUCUGUUUCGCACUACUGUGAUUAAUGAUGAAGAGGCAUCUGCCCAAGAAGCUGCAGCCAGUGCUGAGAGUGGAGCUCCAACCAUUUUUGACAAGAUCAUAGCAAAGGAAAUACCUUCGUCCAUUGUAUAUGAGGAUGACAGAGUCCUUGCUUUUCGGGAUGUUAAUCCUCAGGCUCCUGUUCAUGUUUUAGUCGUUCCAAAGUUCAGGGAUGGAUUGACACAACUUGGGAAGGCUGAAAGAAGGCACAGGGAGAUCCUAGGUGAACUUCUCUAUGCUGCCAAAAUAGUGGCUGAAAAAGAAGGCAUCCUUGAUGGCUGUCGUGUUGUUAUCAACAACGGUCCCAGUGCUUGUCAAUCUGUUUAUCAUCUGCACUUGCACGUCCUUGGGGGCAGGCAAAUGAAAUGGCCACCUGGUUAAAGAUUUUUAAGCAAACUCGUUGAAGCCUGAUUAUAUCAUUUUCUCCUCUUUAUUUUCUCUUUAAGCCUUCAAUAUUGUGAACAACUUACCAGUUUUAAUGCAUCUUUUUGAGCAUUGUGACGAGAUGGCACUAUUCCUAUAAGUUGUAGCCUGCACUAGCGGCUUUUCUCGAGUUUAGUUCUUUGGAGUUGCAAUUUAGCUGUUAUUUCUAUGAGGCUUUUCUUGUUGUUUUCCGGGUUGCAUUUUAAACUGUGG
Molecule: unclassified non-coding RNA, 835 nt
Filed under: Hevea brasiliensis (rubber tree)
Lineage: Eukaryota; Viridiplantae; Streptophyta; Magnoliopsida; Malpighiales; Euphorbiaceae
Source: RNAcentral